This 639-nucleotide long non-coding RNA is filed under the name Triticum aestivum (bread wheat). Its description in RNAcentral is "long non-coding RNA (TAES_LNC026474)". The record is from RNAcentral. Lineage: Eukaryota; Viridiplantae; Streptophyta; Magnoliopsida; Poales; Poaceae.
UUCUAUCAACUUCAUUUGUUCCUCAAUUUCUCCAGUGACUGAAACAUUCUUCUCAAUAGUGCUAUAGCCAUUAGGUUCACCUUUCUUCUCACCAAAACCUAAAUUUUGCUACUGGUUGUAAUGAAAAGAGGGCCUCAAAUUUCAAUUUAACAUUACUUGUACCCACCACAAAUAUGAAGACAUCCAUAUCCCACAUACAUUAGCGGUCAUCCACCUGAACAGAUACCUGAAAACAAAAUAUUUUCAGUUCUCAGAAGUAUACCAACACAAAAGUGCACAUAUAACACUUCAGGAUUAACAGGCUUCAUUACCAUGCAUUGGAAAGAGAAAACGCAACCCUGCAUCUUGCAAUUUUUGCUAGUUGCAAGCGUGUACCGCUACUAAUCCGGUCUACACCUAGAGAAAGUUCUGAAACCCUCCACAUAGAGACCGUCAAAUACUGCAGGUCAAAAGUGAAAAUCCAUAUUUUUACACCUGAAUGAUCCAUGGAGAGGUAUAUAAACUGCUGUGAGAAAAAAACAAAUAUGAUUGAAUAUCAAUGGAAGAACAUACAAGAAUAGUGCAGCAGCCACUCAUGAUUUGUAAUCGCCAUGGGACUUGAGUUGCUUAGUUGCUUAAACAGUCUACUGUAGUCACCGU